AGUGAACGCUGGCGGUAGGCCUAACACAUGCAAGUCGAACGGCAGCACAGUAAGAGCUUGCUCUUACGGGUGGCGAGUGGCGGACGGGUGAGGAAUACAUCGGAAUCUACUUUUUCGUGGGGGAUAACGUAGGGAAACUUACGCUAAUACCGCAUACGACCUACGGGUGAAAGCAGGGGAUCUUCGGACCUUGCGCGAUUGAAUGAGCCGAUGUCGGAUUAGCUAGUUGGCGGGGUAAAGGCCCACCAAGGCGACGAUCCGUAGCUGGUCUGAGAGGAUGGUCAGCCACACUGGAACUGAGACACGGUCCAGACUCCUACGGGAGGCAGCAGUGGGGAAUAUUGGACAAUGGGCGCAGGCCUGAUCCAGCCAUACCGCGUGGGUGAAGAAGGCCUUCGGGUUGUAAAGCCCUUUUGUUGGUAAAGAAAAGCAGCAGGUUAAUACCCCGCUGUUCUGACGGUACCCAAAGAAUAAGCACCGGCUAACUUCGUG
This 492-nucleotide ribosomal RNA is filed under the name uncultured bacterium. RNAcentral describes it as "partial 16S ribosomal RNA". It matches the Rfam family "Bacterial small subunit ribosomal RNA", at positions 29 to 507 of the family's 1533-position model. The record is from RNAcentral.